RNAcentral lists this ribosomal RNA (440 nucleotides) under uncultured bacterium. RNAcentral describes it as "partial 16S ribosomal RNA". It matches the Rfam family "Bacterial small subunit ribosomal RNA", at positions 339 to 795 of the family's 1533-position model. The record is from RNAcentral.
CUACGGGAUGCAGCAGUGAGGAAUAUUGCACAAUGGGGGGAACCCUGAUGCAGCAACGCCGCGUGGAGGAUGACGCAUUUCGGUGUGUAAACCCCUUUUGUAUGUCAAGAAAAUGACGGUAGCAUAUGAAUAAGCACCGGCUAACUCCGUGCCAGCAGCCGCGGUAAUACGGAGGGUGCACAGCGUUACUCGGAAUCACUGGGCGUAAAGGACGCGUAGGCGGGUUGGAAAGUCGGGUGUGAAAUCCUACAGCUUAACUGUAGAACUGCACUUGAAACUUCUAAUCUAGAGUAUGGGAGAGGGAGAUGGAAUUAGUGGUGUAGGGGUAAAAUCCGUAGAUAUCACUAGGAACACCUAAAGCGAAGGCGAUUUCCUGGAACAUUACUGACGCUAAGGCGCGAAAGCGUGGGGAGCAAACAGGAUUAGAUACCCCAGUAGUC